AAAAACACAGCUUUUGGAAACUAACAAAAUUACUCUCUCACUGUCACACUUUUCUCACCGCCACACUUCUCCACCGUCUACAACGCACUUCUCCGCCGUCUACGUCGGCACUUCUCUACUGCAGCACGUCUCCUCACAACUCUGUAAACUUCAGCUACUCACCAAAUUCAAAAUUUUAUAGGUGUUCUAUGAUUCUUCGAGACAUUCUGUGUCUACAUAUUUUUUGGGGCCACUUUGUCUGAAAUGGUGUCGCUAACAAGUGCCUUGUUUCUUCUUAAAAUUUGGAGUUGUCGUCUCCGUGUAUCCUUUUGUUUAUGCUGGAGUAAGGUAUACACCAAAGUUCGAUGGUUCAAAGAUAUCACAUACAUUAUAUUCUUAUUUGGAACUGAAAUUAAAAGGAGAGCUUCUAGAUCAUCGGGGAUAAAAAAAUUGAGGGGAAAGGCUCGGACAUCUUUUGAACCUAGAAACACAAUUAUGGUUGCCAAACUAUGACAGUUCCGAGGAGAGAAUCAGGAGGCUUGGAUAGUUCAAGCUAUACAUUAUUUCGAUUUCUAUAAAAUUGAGGAAGAUCAAAAGCUUAAUGUGGUGUCGCUCUACCUUGAUGGUGAAGCAUUACAAUGGUACCCGUGGUUAUUUAGGAAUAAUCAAUCAAGUGAUUGGUUGAAUUUUGCUGAUAAGAUGAAAAUUUGAUUUAAACAGAAAUGAUAUGAGUCUGCGGCAGAGUGAAGCGCCAAUCUCGAACAGGUAACCUACGUGACUGAGUACCAAAAUCAUUGUGAGGAUAUUUUGUCGAGCUUUGGUGAGUCCGAUGUACUCUUCCCAGGCCACACAUAUGUUCAUCCAUGUUGGAGCAACAUAACCAACUCUCUUAUACCGUAAUAUCGUGACCAAUCAUAAUACAAAAGCAAUACAAAUGUGUGUAAGGUGUGUGAUUAGUUGUCCGAUAGGUACAAAGACUCAUAUUAUCUCUCAGUCUCGCUAUGUUCAGCAAGCUUAUUGAACUUUCCAUUCCAGAUGGGUAUGUCGAGUCAAGUACACGGUGUGCUAUUAUAUUUGUAUCUUUUACAAUAUCAGUAAUGUAGCAAGUUUCCGCAACAGGUAAAAUAAAUGUAUAUUUGCAACAAUCAAUGGAGUAUUAGUCAACACUUAUUUAUACAAUGAAUGUUGUUUUUACUACUGCGAGAUUUUUAUUUUUUCUUACUAGUUGGACUACCUGUGAAGCUACUAACUUAGUACAUUGAUACUCAAAGAGGUAAUACCUUGUUAAUGGUGAAUAAAUUCACCUGCAAUCAUUAGAAAAAUAGAAAUAUGACUCAUUUCAUAUCUUGAUCCAAAUUAUCUUGACCAAAGAUCAUAGUUUCAUCUACUUUUAUUGUUACCAGAUAUGCCGAAGCUGAAGCAUUACGAUAACUUACGCAACUCAUUUACUCAUCAUCUAGUUCACAAGGUUUGGCACAUUCUUCAUCAAGAAAUGAAUCAUUUGACAUCAUCAACUCCGCGAUCUGCGUUGACAUCGGUAUAUUGACAGUUGAUUUCGCUGCUAAAGAAUGAAAAUGAUAUUGUGUACUAACUCAAGGAAGAUGCGUGGCUAGCUGCUUAAACUUUUUUUGUUUAGGUAAAAUUUGACUAAUACAAGCAUUAUCAAGGUAAUUUUACUCUUUUUUAGCAUUGCUAUUUGAUAGGAUUAACAUGUUCUGCCAGACUCACUGCUUUAGUCACUCGUGUUGGUUUCUUUGUCCCUCGUCGGGCGGCAAAAGAUUGUUUUCCCCCCUUGAUAAAGCCUUCUUUAAGCUAGUAAAGAUAAUGUAGUCUUCAGAGGUUAGAGGGAAUGAUUAGAAGUUAAGAUGUUGCGUAUCUUUUACUUUCUAUUCCGUGCUUCAUAUAUGUAUUUGAUUCCAAAAGAUUUGUACAAUCUUUGUGAGCAAUAUCGGAAGAAGCUUAUUAUUUUCUAGUUGAAGGUGUGCCCCUACUGCUCCUCAAAUUUGGUCAGCUUGUUUAUUUGUGGGUGCAGUGCAGUAUUUUUCAUAUGCAUGUUUAUUUGUGGGUGCACUUUAUUUCUAAGACCUUGUAAGUUUCUCGAAAUUAUUAACAGCAACCAGUCACCUGGCGCCUAUUCAGCAGGACUUGGAUUGGCAUUCUUUAGUAUCAACGACUUUUACGAGUAAAGAAAAUGAAUAGCAUACCAGCUCAUAGUUGCAUAAGAAGGUCUGUGCUUUCAAAAUUGUCGCCUGUUUCUUCUUCGUCUUAAAUCCUAUUGUGACAGAAUUAUUCAACCUUGUGGAAGAAUUAACAUCCAUAGUCACUUUUGAAUCUUCACUUGCAACAGUAGUUAGCUGUGUUUUUCUUGGAACAAACUCAAGUGCAUGUGCAUUCAUGAUUUUUGGAUAAUCAUAACUGCUUAUUUCAGCAGCAGGAUUUUGGUUCUUUACAUAUCCGUUUUUCAUGAAAGCAUGACUUGUCCUGUGGUACUUACAAUCCUUUGUCGUGAUCAUAUUGUUCGUAACUAUUGAUAUGUUACUCUCAACGGGAUUUAUUUAGUGCAAUGAGAUACAUGUACUUUGCAGUGUUGUUCAUUGGAGUUACAAAUAACACUGUUGUCCAACCAGUUGUGCCCGUUGAAAGAUUGAGUAUAUUGUGCUGUCGUUUUGAAAUGAUUUGAAAUCCUUGCUCGAUUAAAUGAUUUUAACUCUUUUUCUGUUGUUGUAAGUCUUUAAUAUGCAAAUUCUCUGUCCAAGUGUUAACAUAGAAAGGAAAGACGUCAUUUCUACUAGUAUCUUUGUCUAUAAAUCGAAAUUGUGAGUAUUCAUAUAGCCACUCCAACUUAUUUGGGAUUGUUGUCGUUUAAUGCUUACAACCUUAGUAUGCUAAUAUUACGGAUGUUUUGUUUUGUGACUUGCAGUGGGCUAACAACCUUUAUCAAGGAGUUAUGCUUCCAUUACCCGUGCCUCUAAAGCCAGCUGAUGUUGGUGACAAUAAUUGUAGUGAAACUAGUUGAAGUUCCAUAAACCGAUCCUAUCUUGAGUUUGGAUGAUAUUGAUUUGAAGUUUAAGCAAGUUUUGUAGUGAUUUGAAGUUAAAGAAAAUUCUUAUAGUGAUAUGAAGUUUCUUGUAAUCGUAAUGGUUGAAACAAAUGAUAUGUUUUUGUUCACUUCAUGAUAUACUUUUGUGUUGAAUAUUGUAAUAUUUCUUAAUACUAAUAUGUCCUUUGAUAAUAA
Solanum pennellii is the source of this 3214-nucleotide long non-coding RNA. RefSeq lists it as uncharacterized. NCBI's taxonomy places the organism in Eukaryota, Viridiplantae, Streptophyta, Magnoliopsida, Solanales, Solanaceae. The transcript is spliced from 6 exons. The record is from RefSeq and is a predicted model, not a curated record.